RNAcentral lists this long non-coding RNA (4394 nucleotides) under Canis lupus familiaris (dog). RNAcentral describes it as "lncRNA (ENSCAFG00000050643.1, ENSCAFG00805024829.1, ENSCAFG00845023792.1)". Lineage: Eukaryota; Metazoa; Chordata; Mammalia; Carnivora; Canidae. The record is from RNAcentral.
CCUCGACGUGCCUCAGUUUCCCCACCUGUCCUCGGGGAGGUACGCCAGCCGGGUCCCUGCGCCGGGCGGCGGUGCCCCGCCGACUGCAAGCGCUGUGCGCACGCCCGCUGGAGCCGGCACCGCGCUCCAGGCGAGGCAGGGAGCGCGCGGUGUUAUCCUCGAGCCCCGGGAGGCUGCGGGGGGAAGACUCGAGCUCUAAAAUUAGUCCAGCUUCCCCGCCCGGCGCCGGGAGCGCCCUCCAGCUCGCCGCGCCUCCCCCCCCGCCCGCCCCCUCUCCCCCCGCGCGGCGCUCCGAGAUCGCGAGUCGGCCGGGACGCCGAGGCUCCUCUCCCCCUCGCCCUUUUCACUCGCGGGUUGGGAGGAGGAGACAGCGAGAGGAGAGCGAGAGGGGGCCGCGGGAGAGGGGCUCGGCCGCGCGUCGGCGUCAGCUGUGAUGGGGAGCUGCGAGCAGCGAGGCGGCGAGCAGUAGCGGCGGCGGCGGCGGCGGCGGCACCGAGCAGGCACGAGAGCCGGCGCUGCUCCCGGCAGGCUGCGCUGUGCUCUGGGCUGCGGCUUGGGAUCUCGCGCCCCGUCCGCCUCCUCCCGCUGCCGCUCUCCUCCUCCCGGCUCCCCUCCUUCGCCUGCGAGCCUCCGGACGCCGAGCGCCUCUGCCCGCGGCUCCAGUCCCGGAGAGCGCGCCGCGGGCACUGCGGCGGCGGCGGCCGGGUGGCCGGGUGGCCGGGCGGCCGGCUCGUCCUGGGCUGGAGCGCUGGGAGAGGAAGACCACGGAGGCAGCGCCCGGUGGAGCCGUGGAUCGCCGGCGAAGGCAAGGGAGAAACAGCCUGCUGGCCAUCAGAGACCUGAGGAUACAGGAGAGAUGAUUUCAUCGACUUCAAAACUCUAUUAUAUACUUAAGGUUUUAAAAUAUGUUCAACAGAGUCAUCAUGCUUUCUCGGUGCUCACUUCGUGUCUGAUCCACGUGUGGCUCCUGUCACCCCUAGCCUCCCCAGUUUGGCUGUCACUCUACAGAGGAAAUAAAAAAGCAGCAGACCCAGUUUCCUGGCUGUUUUAUUUUAUGGAGAUGCUAAAAGGAAGCUUAUUUCAUAUUGAUCAUACCAGGGAGCUAGCCAAGUAUGGUGUUAAUUGGGUCCUCUGGAAUUCUAAACCCCUGGGACAAGAGGCUUUCUAGGAAGGAGGGGGAAAAACCCACAAGCUGCAUAAAAAUUAAAUCCAGGAGCCCACAAUGUCCCAGUUGCUGGUGAUUUGGACAGCUCGUUUUGUAUCCAGUUGCUUAUUUCAAUUAGCUUGUUUUGUGUUAUGUUUCCCCACACCCCCUUUCCUGCAAAGCUGUGAAGCCUUGUUUUGAAAACUGCUGCCCCAGAGUGCACUGGUUUGGCUGUCCUGUCCUCAUUGUUCUAAUGCUCAUUCCAUAUGUGGGUCACAUACUAGCGCUCUCCCCCACACCCCUCCACCUCCCUCUUAUCCCUCCAGCCACCUCCCCUCCUUUUCCCUUCCCUUCUCUUCCUUUCCCUGUUGGUGCAUUGACUCUCUGGCUCUCCUUCUCCUGUUCCACUUCCCCCCACAAUCUAUCUCUGUCUGUCUCUCUCUCUGUCUCUCUCUGUCUCUCUCUCUUUCACACACAUACACACACACACACUUUUCUUCUCUCAAGAGGCAGAAGUAGGGGCCAGAUUCUUUCAGGAUCUUUGCACACAGAGCCAUUCAAACUUUAAAAGCUGGUUACUGUGCAUUUAUUUUAUGGAAAACACCACUUCACCUUCCUGAAAGUAAUUAUUCUGUUCCUCUCCCCUCUACUUCCCUCUUUCCACUCCUUGCUCUUUUCCCCUCUUUUUCUAGGACAAAGGUUUUUUAAGAAACUAGGAUUGCUGCUUCCUUCUGCCCUCUCUUGUUACCGUGGUAGCGAGCAUCUCAGACAGUGAAGGAUGGAGAAGGCAGGCUGGGGUUUUAUGCACAGUUCUUUGGGGGCUGCAGAGGAGUCCCCUGAGAAAUGUGCAUUGCAGGCAUGCCUGCUGAGUUUACUAUGCUGGUUAUCUGUCACUUAUUCUGACUAAAAGGUAAGGGCUUCUGCAAUCUGCGGCUGCAAAGAAUUGGCACAUUGUUUUAUUUCUAAGGUCUUCAACUAAUUGGCUCUUGAGAGAAGAUUGGAAUGAGAGUUUUUGCUGGACUUCUGUAGCUUAUCCUAUUAGAUCUCUCUGAUUUUUUGAAUGAGGGAAAAUAAUUUUGGCAAUCUUUGGUUAUUGAUGGGAUGUCUAUUUACAUGUGUUGAGGGGGAAAAAAACACCCAACUUUUAAUUCCAUGUUGCUUUCUUCUUUUCAUUUAAAACUUUUCAUUUACCAAUGAAAAGAUGUGUUAUAUAUGUGGUCCAUAUUUUCAUUGGUUUCUGUAAACUUUGAAAGAGUUUUGAAAUCAUCCCAAGCAAGAUAAGAUUUUAACUCAGCAGAUUGCAUUUUUACCAAUUAAAAAUUAUUGUGCAUUUGAGUAAUCAGAGUAAGGAAAGUUUGAGACUAUUUAGAUGAAUAGUAACAUUUACAUUUAUUAGUCUGUUACUCUAGAAUGGAUAAAUACAUAUUGGUAAAUAUAAAUAACCAUUUAUGCCUCUUGUUUUAUGUGUGGUUAGAGGAAAUUUUCUGCAUUUGUUCAGAAUUCUGACUGAAAUACAGGCAAAGGAAUCUUAGUAAUAAGGACUACAUAAAAGUAUAUAGAAUUUUUAAAAAGAUUAUUUUAUUUUAGAGAGGGAGGGAGGGGCAGAGGGAGAGGGAGAAAGAAAAUCUCAAACAGAUUCCCUGUUGAUGGCAGAGCCUAUUGCAGGACUUGAUCCAAGGAUCCUGAGAUCAUGAUCUAAGCUGAAAUCAGCAGUUGAACACUCAACCGACUGAGCCACUCAGGCGCCCCCAGAAAGUAUGUAGACCUUAAGUUUAUGUUUUUAAAUUUACCUACUUGAAGUAAUUGAAACUACAAUAUCAAUUGCCUGUUAUCUCUGGGAAAAAAACUUAUCUUUGAUUAAGAAGCAUAAUUUCAAAAACAGAUUGUACAUCACUAUGGAGCUUAUACAGUUGGAAACCAGCUGAACUUUAUUGAAAAAAAAAUGAUUAUACCUUAUUUUCUUAAGUGGUGGUAAUUUAUGAAGACUCUUUGGUAGGAGUGUAGGAGGUAUUUUAUUGGAGAUGGAAGGUCCUUUUAAUGGUAUUUUUCCUUUAUGGCUGCUGUUUAGGGCAUGUGGUGUGUUGCUAUCCGGUUCUGUUUAUCAAUCCGUCUCAUGAGCCAUAAAUGAAAGAAAGGUGUAUGUUUGGAUAUCCAAUUUAAGUCAGCUAAUUUUAUUUAUGACUUUAUAAAAUUUGGGUCAAAGAGCUGUGGGAAAGGUUUCUUGCAAAAGGACAUAUGGAUGCAUCUGCUUAUACAACCUAGUGCUAUUAACAAAACAAGCUGGGGAUUUUUUUCAGUGAUUAGACAUUGAGUGGAUCUUGAGGAAAGAUGGUAUCUAUGAAGGGAAGAAGCUUUAUUUCUUUGACUCUGACUCAAAGGUUCUUACUGAGGUAGAGUAGGGCCUAGAUUUUAGGGUCUGUUUUUCUUCCACAGUUAUCCCUCACCCCUAUCCCCUUCUAUCCAGUGUCUGUCAUUAAGUCCCUCUUGUUUCUUUAUGCAGUAGGAUAGCUUUACAUUCCUUUCAAAAUCACUAGGUGAUAAUUCAGAUGAGCAUAUACUCAGGGAGAAUUAAAAAAUUUUCCCUCCCAUUUUUAUCCUACACAUCUCCUUCUUAGUACAAAGAAAAACACACCAGAUACUUCUUCAUCUGCAGUUUUUCUUCUCUUCCAACUUUAAAAACUUUCUAAAAUGUCAAUUUUAGAAUCCCUUCAUAAAAUAGGAUACCUUUUCAUGUGUUAAAUCAGUGACUGUCAACCAGGGGGUGUUCAAAGUACUCGCCUGUGAAGUAUUUAAAUAAUGCAAGUUGUAGGUGCCACCCCCAGGGAGUUUGUUCUGAACUCUGUAUCCAUACCCGGUACUUGGUAGGUGUUCAGUAGUAGUAGUCACUGAAUGUUAAUUACUGAAAUGUUUUCCAAGUAGAACUAACAGGCCACACUGAGUAAGACUACAAAAUCUUUUCCUCUUCCUCUUUAGUUGAAAUUGGAAAGAGGCACUUCUGACUUCUCUGCUUCCUACUUGUAUAUUGAGAAAAACAGGGCUUCUUUUGAAAGGAAGGGCUUCUUUUGCAGAUGUUUUCAAAACUCUGAAAGUAAAUUAAUCAUCCUUAAAAAGGCUAGUAGGAUCCUCUACUCAUUUUCCACUACCCAGACGAAUAGUCCUGUAGCAGUGCUACUAAUCACAACAUUCUUAGAAAUUACUUUGCACCCCAGUCCCAUGACUCUCUUAUGAAUCUCAAAAUGAUAUUAUGGAA